Molecule: ribosomal RNA, 520 nt
Filed under: uncultured Glomus
Lineage: Eukaryota; Fungi; Glomeromycota; Glomeromycetes; Glomerales; Glomeraceae
Description: SSU rRNA
Rfam family: Eukaryotic small subunit ribosomal RNA
Source: RNAcentral
AGCAGCCGCGGUAAUUCCAGCUCCAAUAGCGUAUAUUAAAGUUGUUGCAGUUAAAAAGCUCGUAGUUGAAUUUCGGGGUCAGUAAGUUGGUCGUGCCACUGGUAUGUACUGGCUUUACUGAUUCCUCCUUCUUGUAGAACCGUAAUGCCAUUAAGUUGGUGUUGCGGGAAAACAGGACUGUUACUUUGAAAAAAUUAGAGUGUUUAAAGCAAGCUAACGCUUGAAUACAUUAGCAUGGAAUAAUGAAAUAGGACGUUCGAUCCUAUUUUGUUGGUUUCUAGGAUUGACGUAAUGAUUAAUAGGGAUAGUUGGGGGCAUUAGUAUUCAAUUGUCAGAGGUGAAAUUCUUGGAUUUAUUGAAGACUAACUACUGCGAAAGCAUUUGCCAAGGAUGUUUUCAUUAAUCAAGAACGAAAGUUAGGGGAUCGAAGACGAUCAGAUACCGUCGUAGUCUUAACCAUAAACUAUGCCGACUAGGGAUCGGAUGAUGUUAAUUUUUUAAUGACUCAUUCGGCGCCUUA